RNAcentral lists this ribosomal RNA (305 nucleotides) under uncultured bacterium. RNAcentral describes it as "bacterial SSU rRNA". It matches the Rfam family "Bacterial small subunit ribosomal RNA", at positions 335 to 658 of the family's 1533-position model. The record is from RNAcentral.
AUCCUACGGGGCGCAGCAGUGGGGAAUAUUGCACAAUGGGGGAAACCCUGAUGCAGCGACGCCGCGUGAAGGAAGAAGUAUUUCGGUAUGUAAACUUCUAUCAGCAGGGAAGAAAAUGACGGUACCUGACUAAGAAGCCCCGGCUAACUACGUGCCAGCAGCCGCGGUAAUACGUAGGGAGCGAGCGUUAUCCGGAAUUAUUGGGUGUAAAGGGCGCGUAGACGGGAAAACAAGUUAGUUGUGAAAUCCCUCGGCUUAACUGAGGAGCUGCAACUAAAACUAUUUUUCUUGAGUGCAGGAGAGGU